Molecule: long non-coding RNA, 392 nt
Organism: Quercus lobata
Lineage: Eukaryota; Viridiplantae; Streptophyta; Magnoliopsida; Fagales; Fagaceae
Exons: 3
Source: RefSeq, a predicted model, not a curated record
AAAAAAAAAAAAAAUUAUUCCUCUGUGAGAUAUCCAGCAUGAAAUUAAAGGUAAUAUGAACCAUUGCGCCUGCAACUUAAAACACUUUUCCCCCAAGUUUGCAUGGCACAUAGUCUCUUCAACCAAGGGAGAGGAUGGUGGUAGUGCUUGCAGAAAAAAGCAACGAUCUCUAAAUACACCCAGCUGGAACAUCAUGUACCCGCAUACGAAGCCACGAAGAAGAUGCUCAGCAAGUUUGUUAUAAGCUUAGCCUUGAGGAACAUCUCUGUAAUGAGUCAUACAGAAAGCAUGAUACAGUGGUCAAAGUUUCUGAAGAAUGUAUGGUUUUUAGAGUUCACACUUAUUCUGCUACAUUAUAUGCACCAAAAGGAUGAGUCAGAAUCAGUGAUCUA